GAUGAACGCUGGCGGCGUGCCUAAUACAUGCAAGUCGAGCGAACAGACGAGGAGCUUGCUCCUCUGACGUUAGCGGCGGACGGGUGAGUAACACGUGGAUAACCUACCUAUAAGACUGGGAUAACUUCGGGAAACCGGAGCUAAUACCGGAUAAUAUAUUGAACCGCAUGGUUCAAUAGUGAAAGACGGUUUUGCUGUCACUUAUAGAUGGAUCCGCGCCGCAUUAGCUAGUUGGUAAGGUAACGGCCUACCAAGGCAACGAUGCGUAGCCGACCUGAGAGGGUGAUCGGCCACACUGGAACUGAGACACGGUCCAGACUCCUACGGGAGGCAGCAGUGGGGAAUAUUCCGCAAUGGGCGAAAGCCUGACGGAGCCACGCCGCGUGAGUGAUGAAGGUCUUCGGAUCGUAAAACCCUUUUAUUAGGGAAGAAAAAAUGUGUAAGUAACUAUGCACGUCUUGACGGUACCUAAUCAGAAAGCAACGGCUAACUACGUG
RNAcentral lists this ribosomal RNA (497 nucleotides) under uncultured bacterium. RNAcentral's name for it is "partial 16S ribosomal RNA". It matches the Rfam family "Bacterial small subunit ribosomal RNA", at positions 28 to 507 of the family's 1533-position model. The record is from RNAcentral.